RNAcentral lists this ribosomal RNA (787 nucleotides) under Pseudocohnilembus sp. 1 TS-2013. RNAcentral's name for it is "LSU rRNA". It matches the Rfam family "Eukaryotic large subunit ribosomal RNA", at positions 114 to 887 of the family's 3401-position model. Lineage: Eukaryota; Ciliophora; Oligohymenophorea; Philasterida; Pseudocohnilembidae. The record is from RNAcentral.
UUGAAAAUCCUUGGCACAAAGUUAAGGAAUUGUAAUCUAGAGAGGCGCUCGGAGGGGAUUGGGCGAAGCAUAAGUUCCUUGGAACAGGACGUCAUAGAGGGUGAAAACCCCGUAGUCGGCUUCGUCUCGGAACCAACGAACGUUUUCAAAGAGUCGGGUUGUUUGGGAUUGCAGCCCUAAAUAGGAGAUAAACUUCUUCUAAAGCUAAAUAUUUAUGGGAAACCGAUAGCGAACAAGUACUGCGAAGGAAAGAUGAAAAGAACUUUGAAAAGAGGGUUAAAAGACUUGAAAUCGUUGAGAAGGAAGCGGUAGAAGAGGUAUCAUUUGUGUACGAUAUUGCGGUGGACUGGCCGGCUUGGCGUGCAUUUAGUACUUCAUAGGCUGUUGCACGCCACAGUAGCGGUAAGUUGCCGUUUAUUCGUAUGCAAGAGGCAGAAUGAUGUCGGGCUCCGGGAAUCGUCUUUUAGAACGCCCCUGCCUGCGGGCGGGAGUCUAGGAGAAAAACCGGGGCGCGGCAUGAGGGGCCUGCGGGCGAUUCUGUCAAAGUGGCUUUUACCGACCCGUCUUGAAACACGGACCAAGGAGUCUAUCACAUAUGCGAGUGUUAGGGUGGAAAAACCCGAACGCAUAAGGAAACUGAGGACAAGCUACUAACAGUAGCAGCCGAACCUGCGUCUCCGACAAAGGUAUCGAGCAAGAGCAUAUUUGAUAGGACCCGAAAGAUGGUGAACUUCGCUUGAGUAGGGUGAAGCCAGGGGAAACUCUGGUGAAAGCUCGAAGCGGUACU